Psammomys obesus (fat sand rat) is the source of this 106-nucleotide small nuclear RNA. The record is from RefSeq and is a predicted model, not a curated record. NCBI's taxonomy places the organism in Eukaryota, Metazoa, Chordata, Mammalia, Rodentia, Muridae.
GUGCUUGCUUCAGCAGCACAUACAUAAAAUUUAUAAGGUACAGAAAAGACUAGCAUGGCCCCUGCACAAAGAUGACACACAAAUUCUUGAAGUAUUCCAUAUUCUU